Molecule: long non-coding RNA, 1703 nt
Filed under: Marmota monax (woodchuck)
Lineage: Eukaryota; Metazoa; Chordata; Mammalia; Rodentia; Sciuridae
Source: RNAcentral
AGUCUCGGACUUUUCGUUAAAAAAAAAUACUUAACUACUUAAGCAUACACACAACCUUUUCUUUUUAGAAAGUCAUAAUGAACAAGCAGCUCCUCACAAGCAAUACACUUACCCCAUCAUGUAUGACUGAUUCUUUAUGUGUUUCUGAACUGGCAGGUAGUAAAAAAUGCUUCCAUUCCUCCUUAGUGUGGCAUUAAUUUAUGGCUCCUGUUUUUGAACCUACCACAUUUAACAGAGCAGGUCACGUGCCAUUUGUUCACUUUUUAUUUCUGAAUCCUUUAGCAAAAAUUCAACUGAAAAAGAUAUCUUGCUCUUUCAUUUGUAUGUUUAUAAAUAACAAAACUGCAUUUCAAAUGAUCCUUUUUUUUUGGUAGAAUGGAAGUUAGUCUGUUUUUUGUUUUUGGACAUACAUCAUUCAGGUUCUCUCAUAAUUGGAAGCUUUCCUAAAAGAGGGCCAAGAGGUAUGAAGUCUGGACAACACAAAAACCCAGACUACAGUAAAUGUUCAGGUUAGAGAGUUCUGGAUGUCAGGAACUCAGUAGUUCAAUCCCUGAUACAGCUGGAAUAGACCCCAAAGACCAAAGAAAAUGUAUGGGGAAGUCCAGAAGUUCUAACUGAACAUGUCACUCAUUGUGCCCCCCAAAAGUGUAAUUAGUUUUCCAGGAAACUGUAAAAGCACUAUGCUACAUUUGGACUCAUUCCACUCCCAUUGCUACCCCAGGUGAAUAACCCAUCUUUUUGCAGAUUAAAUGCAAAUUUUGCUAUACCAAAGAGUCCUAGGACAUUUUCACAUGAGCUAUAAAGACAUUUUUCCCAAGAACUUCCUCCCUUCUUUGUACAUAAAGGAUGAAAACUAUGCAUCUAGCAAACAAAGAGAAAGCACUUCUCCCUUUUCUAUCUAGUUGUUUAGGGUGCAUUCAAAUGACAGAGGCUGUUUUGAGACACAUUUGGCCUUCUGGAUUAUUAUUGUGGUGUGGUUAGCUUUACAGUACAUUUGGUAACUAUUUCCUAAAUAGUAAGGACAAAGAAGCAGAAGGUAAGAAAUAGCUACUUCCACGUGUUAAAAAAAAGAAAAAAAAAAGAAAAAAAAAGUGUAAAGAUCUACUAUUUAUAGUGUGAACCAAAGACGCUACCUCACUCAAUUUCCAUUGGUGAUUUUAAUCACAUUGAUGAUACCAAAGAAUACCAAAGAUAUUUUCAUGCCGGCCUUGGUCUGCAGAGGGAAUUCCGCCCCCACCCUUCCCCCACCUCCUCUCCCCUCCUCACUCUUCACUCAGUGUGUAAACUUGUCUUCAUUCUUAAUAAUGAUAAGGUAACGGUAACAACAACGUUAGGAAAUACUACUCUUAUUACUGCUAGUUCUUCUUGUAAAUCUCUAGGCAAACAUGUUGCAAACUUUGUAAACUCCUAGGAUGAGUGCCUUGCUUGAACCAAAGUGUUAAACCGCUGUUAACCUCUCUCACCUUAUACUCUUUGAAUACCUCAGCCUCUUAGAAAGGCCACUAAUGAAAAAAAAAAAAAAAAGGAAUAAUUAUUCACCGUGGUGCUUUUUCCGUGCAACCAUGCAAUGAAACUUUCUUUGAUACCAAAGGAUGACUUCCCCCCACCCCCAAUUUCUUGCUGAUAAACCAAAGCUCCUCCUUGUUCCCUCUCGAGGUCCUCUCCUAAAGGGACCCAGGGAAGUGGUCCGUCCGGCACGUAGU